AUUGAACGCUGGCGGCAUGCUUUACACAUGCAAGUCGAACGGUAACAGGCCUUCGGGUGCUGACGAGUGGCGAACGGGAGAGUAAUGCAUCGGAACGUACCCAGAGGUGGGGGAUAACGCAGCGAAAGCUGUGCUAAUACCGCAUGUGAUCUGAGGAUGAAAGCGGGGUACCGAGCAGCCAUGUUUGGCCUCGCGCCUUUGGAGCGGCCGAUGUCGGAUUAGCUAGUUGGUGGGGUAAAGGCCUACCAAGGCGACGAUCCGUAGCUGGUCUGAGAGGACGACCAGCCACACUGGGACUGAGACACGGCCCAGACUCCUACGGGAGGCAGCAGUGGGGAAUUUUGGACAAUGGGCGCAAGCCUGAUCCAGCAAUGCCGCGUGCGGGAAGAAGGCCUUCGGGUUGUAAACCGCUUUUGGCAGGAACGAAACGGUGUCCGCUAAUACCGGGCGCUAAUGACGGUACCUGCAGAAUAAGCACCGGCUAACUACGUG
RNAcentral lists this ribosomal RNA (492 nucleotides) under uncultured bacterium. RNAcentral describes it as "partial 16S ribosomal RNA". It matches the Rfam family "Bacterial small subunit ribosomal RNA", at positions 29 to 507 of the family's 1533-position model. The record is from RNAcentral.